RNAcentral lists this transfer RNA (85 nucleotides) under Desulfamplus sp. RNAcentral describes it as "tRNA-Leu". It matches the Rfam family "tRNA". From Rfam's summary of the family: Transfer RNA (tRNA) molecules are approximately 80 nucleotides in length. Their secondary structure includes four short double-helical elements and three loops (D, anti-codon, and T loops). Further hydrogen bonds mediate the characteristic L-shaped molecular structure. tRNAs have two regions of fundamental functional importance: the anti-codon, which is responsible for specific mRNA codon recognition, and the 3' end, to which the tRNAs corresponding amino acid is attached (by aminoacyl-tRNA synthetases). tRNAs cope with the degeneracy of the genetic code in two manners: having more than one tRNA (with a specific anti-codon) for a particular amino acid; and 'wobble' base-pairing, i.e. permitting non-standard base-pairing at the 3rd anti-codon position. Lineage: Bacteria; Pseudomonadati; Thermodesulfobacteriota; Desulfobacteria; Desulfobacterales; Desulfobacteraceae. The record is from RNAcentral.
GCCGAAGUGGUGGAAUAGGUAGACACGCACGCUUGAGGGGCGUGUGGGGCGACCCGUAGGAGUUCAAGUCUCCUCUUCGGCACCA